This 2278-nucleotide non-coding RNA is filed under the name Pan troglodytes (chimpanzee). The record is from RNAcentral. Lineage: Eukaryota; Metazoa; Chordata; Mammalia; Primates; Hominidae.
GCGCGCCCCUUCCCGGGCAGUUCCUCUCGGCGCCCCCGAGUCCUCCCCGCGCGCCGCUUCCCGGGUGGGCCCUUCCACCAGAGCCCCCUGGUAGAUCCUCCCCUGGUGCCCUGGGGGUAGAGGGGAGAUCCUCCACAAGGGUCAUUUCCCUGGUGAUCCCUCCCUGUGCCCCACAGGUGAGUCCUGCCGUAGCUCUCCAGGGGUUCCUCCUGAUGCUGGGGUCCUCCGGCAUUCCUCCCUGAGCCCCCCAAGGGCCCUGAAGCUCAGCGGCCCAGCCCUGGCCUCGGGGUCCCCACCCCACACCUCCCUUCCAGGCCUAACCUUUGCCCCCGACACCAGGCAGGGCGUGUCCUUGGCCUUCGCCGCCCAGCCCGCGUGGCAUCUCUGGACAGGUGGCCGUGCGCGCCUUGGUGUGGGCAGGCUCCGUAGCCGGCAAAGCCUCCCUGAACCGUGACCUGGUGAGAAGGCCACAGAGGAGGUGCCUGUGCCCAGAGGCCACCUCCAAAGACCCCACCUGAGGCUGGAACCCAGCGCCUGCUGACCCCGCCAGCCCCAACAGGGCUGGAGUCCAGGAGCGGCCGUGCUCUUUCCGCAGUGAGGCAGCUGCCUUCUCUUCCCACCACCUGUCAGGAUGCCUUCCCGUGUGUGCUUGUGCACAGGUCUAAGGAGAGGAGAGUCCAGUGACCCAGACGCCCCAGCCAGGAAGAGCAUGAGGACAUGGAGCGGAGCGUUCAGGGCUAUCAGGAGGGAGCCCCGUGGCCACGGUGCAAGAUCUAGGCAGGCGGGACAGACAUGGUCAGGAUGCUGGGGACACAGCAUGGGGAAUCCAGCACACAGGACACCAUCCAGGAAAGCAAAGCUGCGGCCUGAGAUCUCCUUCCACCAACUCCUGGCAUGGCCAGAAAGUUAGCCAGAAACACCAGAAAGUGCCAGGCAGCUAGGAAGCAUGGGGAGAGCCCCCCGAAGCUGCGUGUGUAGUGCCUGCUUCCGCUGCCAUCCCAGAAAUGGACGAACUUCUCCCUGAGAACCCAGCCACGCCACUGGGACACAUCCUGACAGUGACACGCACACUCUCCCCUGGCCCCAGCCUGGAGAGGAGCCUCCUGAAGACACCAGCCUUUGCUCCUUCUCCCAGUGGGAGUGGAGAGAACUGACUGCUGGAGUGGAGACAGUCAAGGCUGUCCUGAGGGAGCACAGCACAGGGUCUGGUGUCCCAGGGAGGCAAUCUGAAAUUCAAGCCAGGCCUCCCCAGCGGAGAGGACACACCCCUCACCAUGCAGAGUGACAUUUAGUAAACUCUCAAAAGAGAGCACAGAGCCCCGCUCCUCCAGCCGACCCCUACUCUGCCUCCCCACUCCAGACCAGUGAAAAAGGUGGAUUGCCCUUAAGCCAGCUCAGAGGCAAAGUCCAAAGACCUCAGGUGAGUCAAACAAUAAAAACAAAGAAUUAAGAAGAAUCCAGCCGGGUGCGGUGGCUCACGCCUGUAAUCCCAGCACUUUGGGAGGCUGAGGCGGGAGGAUCACGAGCAGGAGAUCGAGACCAUCCUGGCUAACACGGUGAAACCCCGUCUCUACUAAAAAUAGAAAAAAUUAGCUGGGCGUGGUGGCGGGCGCCUGUAGUCCCAGCUACUCCGGAGGCUGAGGCAGAAGAAUGGCGUGAACCCAGGAAGCGGAGCUUGCAGUGAGCCGAGAUCGUGCCACUGCACUCCAGCCUGGGCGACAGAGCGAGACUCCGUCUCCAAAAAAAAAAAAAAAAAAAAAAAAAAAAUCCAUCCACUCCAUCCACUUAGUAGCAGAGCGAAUAGACAUUCAGGAAAGAGCUUUCACGUCAGAAAGCACUACAGAAGUAGUGGCAUAUCCCCGGAGGCUGAGGUGGGAGCAUUGCUGAGAGGUGGCACGUGACCACAUCCAUGUCAUUCAACAACAGAAAAACAAGUCAGCGAGGGUGUGAGGGGCCGGUGAGAAACCCAGUAUGGAAGAAAACACAACUGGGCUGAGCGUGGUGGCUCACGCCUGUAAUCCCAGCACUUUGGGAGGCCAAGGCAGGAGGAUCACCUGAGGUCAGGAGUUCGAGACCAGCCUGGUCAACAUAGUGAAACCUCAUCUCUACUAAAAAUACAAAAAAAUUAGCUGGGUGUGGUAGCGCAUGCCUGUAGUCCCAGCUACUCAGGAGGCUGAGGCAGGAGAAUUGCAUGAACCCAGGAGCCGAGACCACACCACUGCACUCCAGCCUGGGGGCGGCACAGUGAGACUCCGUCUCAAAGAAACAAAAAUAAAAA